This 440-nucleotide ribosomal RNA is filed under the name uncultured bacterium. RNAcentral's name for it is "partial 16S ribosomal RNA". It matches the Rfam family "Bacterial small subunit ribosomal RNA", at positions 338 to 795 of the family's 1533-position model. The record is from RNAcentral.
CCUACGGGAGGCAGCAGUGGGGGAUAUUGCACAAUGGGGGGAACCCUGAUGCAGCGACGCCGCGUGUGGGAAGACGGUCCUCUGGAUUGUAAACCACUGUCCCCAGGGCCGAAGAUGACGGUACCUGGGGAGGAAGCUCCGGCUAACUACGUGCCAGCAGCCGCGGUAAUACGUAGGGAGCGAGCGUUGUCCGGAAUUACUGGGUGUAAAGGGAGCGUAGGCGGGACUGCAAGUUGGGUGUCAAAUCUACCGGCUCAACCGGUAGCCGCACUCAAAACUGCAGUUCUUGAGGGAAGGAGAGGCAGGCGGAAUGCCUAGUGUAGCGGGGAAAGGAGUAGAUAUUAGGAGGAACACCAGUGGCGAAGGCGGACUGCUGGGCUUUUACUGACGCUGAGGCUCGAAAGUGUGGGGAGCAAACAGGAGUAGAUACACGAGUAGUC